AAUCAGGGUUUUGUGCCUCAGGUUAUAUUGAUGCCGAUGUAACUGCUUUUCACUGGUGUAACGGCCGCAUAGACUUACGAGCCUAGAUAACUGACUAGACCGACUAAGCUACUACGCAGUGGCCCGAUCGGGUGGGAGCAAAAUCCAUUUAAAUAUAC
This 158-nucleotide unclassified non-coding RNA is filed under the name synthetic construct. The record is from RNAcentral.